UUGAAAGGGAAACGAUUGAAGUCAGUCGUACCUGUGGGUAAUCAGCCUUUUGGGUGUGAUUUUGUGGAGUGUGAGGAGUUAAACGCCUUCAUGCCUGCAUAUUCGUGCACUUUGGGUGUAUUUACCCGUGUGGUAAGUUAACAUCAAUUUCGGUGGUCAUAAAAUGGCUGGAGGAAUGUAGCUUCGAUCUCGUAUUGAAGUGUUAUAGCCUUCGGCAGAUGUGAUGAUCGGGAUUGAGGAUUGCAACGGAUACCCCUCGGGGCUACCUGUCUGAUCUCUGAUCGUUGCUCUGGUGCCGAAAGCUUGCUUACGGUUAUCAAAGUCGAUGGUCAAUAGGUUAGAACGGGUUAAAUUCGUUAAGGAUGUUGACGUA
RNAcentral lists this ribosomal RNA (373 nucleotides) under uncultured Glomeromycotina. RNAcentral describes it as "LSU rRNA". The record is from RNAcentral. Lineage: Eukaryota; Fungi; Glomeromycota.